This 2281-nucleotide ribosomal RNA is filed under the name Acinetobacter baumannii. Its description in RNAcentral is "partial 23S ribosomal RNA". It matches the Rfam family "Bacterial large subunit ribosomal RNA", at positions 667 to 2925 of the family's 2925-position model. Lineage: Bacteria; Pseudomonadati; Pseudomonadota; Gammaproteobacteria; Moraxellales; Moraxellaceae. The record is from RNAcentral.
CGUAGAGAAAUCGAGUCUUAAUAGGGCGUUUAGUUGCUGGGUAUAGACCCGAAACCAGGCGAUCUAUCCAUGAGCAGGUUGAAGGUUGGGUAACACUAACUGGAGGACCGAACCCACUGUCGUUGAAAAGCCAGGGGAUGACUUGUGGAUAGGGGUGAAAGGCUAAUCAAGCCUGGUGAUAGCUGGUUCUCCCCGAAAGCUAUUUAGGUAGCGCCUCGGACGAAUACCAUAGGGGGUAGAGCACUGUUUCGGCUAGGGGGUCAUCCCGACUUACCAAACCGAUGCAAACUCCGAAUACCUAUGAGUACUAUCCGGGAGACAGACUGCGGGUGCUAACGUCCGUAGUCAAGAGGAAAACAAUCCAGACCGCCAGCUAAGGCCCCAAAAUCAUAGUUAAGUGGGAAACGAUGUGGGAAGGCAUAGACAGCUAGGAGGUUGGCUUAGAAGCAGCCACCCUUUAAAGAAAGCGUAAUAGCUCACUAGUCGAGUCGGCCUGCGCGGAAGAUGUAACGGGGCUAAAACUAUGUGCCGAAGCUGCGGAUGUAUACUUUGUAUACGUGGUAGGGGAGCGUUCUGUAAGCCGAUGAAGGUGUGUUGAGAAGCAUGCUGGAGGUAUCAGAAGUGCGAAUGCUGACGUGAGUAACGACAAAACGGGUGAAAAACCCGUUCGCCGAAAGACCAAGGGUUCCAGUCCAACGUUAAUCGGGGCUGGGUGAGUCGACCCCUAAGGCGAGGCCGAAAGGCGUAGUCGAUGGGAAAAUGGUUAAUAUUCCAUUACUUCUGUGUAAUGCGAUGAGAGGACGGAGAAGGCUAAAUCAGCCUGGCGUUGGUUGUCCAGGUGAAAGGAUGUAGGCAUGUAUCUUAGGCAAAUCCGGGGUACUCUAUGCUGAGAUCUGAUAGCAAGCUGUACUUGUACAGCGAAGUGGUUGAUGCCAUGCUUCCAGGAAAAGUCUCUAAGCUUCAGUUACACAGGAAUCGUACCCGAAACCGACACAGGUGGUCAGGUCGAGUAGACCAAGGCGCUUGAGAGAACUCUGCUGAAGGAACUAGGCAAAAUGGUACCGUAACUUCGGGAGAAGGUACGCUGUUGUUGGUGAUGGAACUCGCUUCCUGAGCUGACGACAGCCGCAGAAACCAGGCCGCUGCAACUGUUUAUUAAAAACAUAGCACUCUGCAAACACGAAAGUGGACGUAUAGGGUGUGAUGCCUGCCCGGUGCUGGAAGGUUAAUUGAUGGGGUUAGCGUAAGCGAAGCUCUUGAUCGAAGCCCCAGUAAACGGCGGCCGUAACUAUAACGGUCCUAAGGUAGCGAAAUUCCUUGUCGGGUAAGUUCCGACCUGCACGAAUGGCAUAAUGAUGGCGGCGCUGUCUCCAGCAGAGGCUCAGUGAAAUCGAAAUCGCUGUGAAGAUGCAGUGUACCCGCGGCUAGACGGAAAGACCCCGUGAACCUUUACUGCAGCUUGACACUGAACUUUGACCUUACUUGUGUAGGAUAGGUGGGAGGCUUUGAAGCUGGAACGCUAGUUCCAGUGGAGCCGUCCUUGAAAUACCACCCUGGUAAUGUUGAGGUUCUAACUCUGUCCCGUGAUCCGGGACGAGGACCGUGUCUGGUGGGUAGUUUGACUGGGGCGGUCUCCUCCUAAAGAGUAACGGAGGAGUACGAAGGUGCGCUCAGCGUGGUCGGAAAUCACGCGUAGAGUAUAAAGGCAAAAGCGCGCUUAACUGCGAGACCCACAAGUCGAGCAGGUACGAAAGUAGGUCUUAGUGAUCCGGUGGUUCUGUAUGGAAGGGCCAUCGCUCAACGGAUAAAAGGUACUCUGGGGAUAACAGGCUGAUACCGCCCAAGAGUUCAUAUCGACGGCGGUGUUUGGCACCUCGAUGUCGGCUCAUCUCAUCCUGGGGCUGAAGCAGGUCCCAAGGGUAUGGCUGUUCGCCAUUUAAAGAGGUACGCGAGCUGGGUUUAGAACGUCGUGAGACAGUUCGGUCCCUAUCUACCGUGGGCGCUGGAAAUUUGAGAGGAUCUGCUCCUAGUACGAGAGGACCAGAGUGGACGAACCUCUGGUGUACCGGUUGUGACGCCAGUCGCAUCGCCGGGUAGCUAUGUUCGGAAGGGAUAACCGCUGAAAGCAUCUAAGCGGGAAGCCUACCUCAAGAUAAGAUUUCCCUAGGACUUUAUGUCCUCUAAAGAGCCGUUCGAGACUAGGACGUUGAUAGGUUGGAUGUGGAAGCAUAGUGAUAUGUGAAGCUGACCAAUACUAAUUGCUCGUGAGGCUUGACUAUAC